Nylanderia fulva is the source of this 654-nucleotide long non-coding RNA. RefSeq lists it as uncharacterized. The record is from RefSeq and is a predicted model, not a curated record. Lineage: Eukaryota; Metazoa; Arthropoda; Insecta; Hymenoptera; Formicidae.
UCCGAUAGGACAGCCGCCGAGUGAUAACCACGACCGAGAAAUAUCGGAUCCCUUGAUUCAUGCACGAGAAACGCGUAGUAUUUCGCUGGUGUGCAAGUCGACAAUGUCUGCGAUUUUCCCUGCGUCGCGAUACCGCGCGAUAUUCAGAUGGCCCGGCACGGACUCGAUUUGAAAUCGUGUCAUCGCUUGAAUAAGUCGAGAUAAAAGGACGAGAGAGAGAGGGAACACAAUAGUCGGGAGUCUUUAUGGACAGGACAUUAAGUUGCGGGGAAAAGAAAUUUGCAGCUGACGUCGUCGGAGCGGAAGUGACUUCGAGAGUAUACCGUUACUUUGCCUUUUUCUCAGGUUCCGAAAAAAAGAGAAAAAAAAAUAUGACACACAGAGGGAAGAAUGACUGACAGGUGCGUUGCUGUCACUUUUCAACAAUGCGAAUUUUAUUCCGCGCGAGUGAAUGUGUAUAUAGUGAAUCACGUUCGAUCGAUCGAGCUCGGCAGAACGUUUCUUGGCGCGGAAAAUAUGUGUACGAGAAAUUUAGCAACUCAAUUUAAAACCAAUUUAAAACUCUCCACAAUGGACCAGCUCAUUUCAACGCUUAACUUUUAUUUCUCGUUGCAAAUAUUUAUAUAGUAUGAUGUGUUUUAAAUAUAUUUAACA